GACGCGCGGCCCCAGGUCGGCGAUGGGGGCGUUCUUACCUCUGCCGCAGGCUGUGUGAUAGAAUAUGACUUUUAUGGCUCAUGCAAGUGGUUGAGUGGAGUGUGCUGGGAGACCUACUGAAUCUAUUUGGCACAUAUUCCAGUCAUCAUGAGAUAAAUAGCUUUCAUCUACCAUGAUGUUCUGCCUCAACAGCCUGAGAGCAAUAGCGCCAGAAUUAAAACUUUUGAAAUGAUGAGAAAAAAAAUGAGUCUUUCCUCUGUCAAGUUGGUUUGUUCAGGUAUUUUUGUUACAGAUUGAAAAUUGAGCAACACAUUGUGUGUUUAUUCAUUUCUAUACUUGUUUCCAGUUUCCAUUAAGAUGGGGAUGGUAUAUUGCACUUUUACAAUCUUUAAAUAAAGACUGUUAAAGGCUUUGUAUAUGUGUUCAUUCAUUUGAAGGUUUGGAGAAUUUUUUAAUUAAGACAGCUUUUUAGUAUUAUCUAUCAGCUUCUUAAAUUUUAGUAUGCAUAAGAAUCACACAGAGGAAGCUGGGCACUGGUAGUUCAGGCCUGUAAUCCAAGCCACUCAGGAGACUGA
Long non-coding RNA from Perognathus longimembris pacificus (Pacific pocket mouse), 575 nucleotides. RefSeq lists it as uncharacterized. The record is from RefSeq and is a predicted model, not a curated record. Lineage: Eukaryota; Metazoa; Chordata; Mammalia; Rodentia; Heteromyidae. The transcript is spliced from 3 exons.